Long non-coding RNA from Populus trichocarpa (black cottonwood), 4801 nucleotides. RefSeq lists it as uncharacterized. The record is from RefSeq and is a predicted model, not a curated record. Lineage: Eukaryota; Viridiplantae; Streptophyta; Magnoliopsida; Malpighiales; Salicaceae. The transcript has 2 exons.
ACUUGAGAUGCUUUAGAUCAGUGUUAUGUUGGAAUAUUGCCAAUUAUGUGGCUGCCAUUGUCAAAGAAGAUGGCUGCAAUGGUGGGUUGUUGGUGGCAGCCAACAACCAUUGUCUAAUGUCAAAGUUUGGUAAGUUUGGCAGCCACCAUUAUUGACAAAAGAACAAGUGGAGCAGCACCAUAAAUGCCUAUAAAUAGAGGCAUACGGUUGAGAGCAAAAUGAGAGAGUGUGUAGAGCCAAAGAUGUGAGAAAUGUAGGAGAGAGUGGACUGCCAAGGCAGCCAGCAGUAGCUGCCAUUGCAGCACUGAAAAGAGAGAAAUAGAGUGAGGUUGAGAGUUGCCAAAGAGGGGAUGAUUCCUCCUCCUCUAUUGUUGUAAAUCUUGUUCUCUCCCUAUAUAAUCAAAUGGCUUCUCCCGUGGAUGUAGGCGGUUUGCCGAACCAUGUUAAAUAUUGUGUCAGUGUGCUUAGCCUCCAAUGGGCAAAUAUCAGAACAUCACCGGUCGGAAUUCCGUACAAUUGGUAUCAGAGCAUAUGGUUUGAAGUGGUGUUUGAUUUUUGCUCAAAAAUGAAAGUUGUCAAAAUUGUGUUUUGACCAUACCACCGUGUAGAGGAGGAAGAGACGAAGCCACUGGUGAAAACGGCGUCAAAAUCGGACGUCGGACAUGGCCGCACUCUCCAUCACUCUCCGGCAAGGCAUUUGCCCACGCGCGCAGACGCGCCCCACGCGUCUUCUUCACCCGGAUGGGUUGACCCGACCCGAAUACCAGCUGACCUGACCCAUGUGACUGACUCGGAUAAGGGUGACGUCAUCAUGAACAGUAGACAUGUCAGGGAUGACAUUGGCAUGAAGUAAUUGUGACAUCAUCAUGUACAGUAGCAUGACCCAUGAUGACAGCAGCAUGAUGUAAUGGAGAUGUCAGCAUGCACAGUCAGCAUACCAUGUCAGCGUCCAGUCGACAGACACGUCAGCACAAUGGGACCCACCUGCCACAUCAUCAGCCGCGAGCCGAGCCAAGUCGAGCCGAGCCGAGCCGCGAGUCGAGGGAUAAGAUUCUGUGCAGCAGAGUCUAUAUGCAACCGGAUCUGAGAUUGAAUCUGAGCCGUUAAUCAGGCCAGAAUUGUUUUGAUCAAAUCUUAGCCGUCUGAAAUGCGAUUUGGAUGAUUUCAGACUUGUUUCCAGCUAAUUUGAUCAUUCCGGAUGCAAUGGUACGGUCCGAUCAUUGAGAUUGAGACCGAAAAUGGUGGUGGUGAAUUAUUGAAAAAGAUUGCCCGAUGAAGAGGCAUCUGAAGGUCAUCAUGGUGGUCGAUGGAGAUGAAGAAGGAGAAAGUGCACAUGUUUGCCCAAUUAUAUGUGCUGAACUGCUAAGUGGGGAGAAAUUUUAAUUGCCUUGAAGGAAGGCAAAAUUGGGAUACUCUGGACACCCGAUCAUGUGGAUGAUUUGAGGUGGAGAGUGGAAAUUGAUGAAGACCAAUCUUGACGAAUCUAAGAACUGGUAGUCUCGCCAGAUGUUGAGAAAUCAGGUAUAAAACCGGGAUACCCCAAGAUCACUUGUAAAGGAAAGCCGCAACAAAGCUAGCAAAUGGUUGUAUAUACGAAAAGGCAGUACGGUGGAUAGAUACGUUCUAAGAAGUUCUGUCUAGGAGAUUGGGUUUUAAGCGGGACCAGUGUGACCCCUCCAAAUCUUUCCUGGGAACUUGCUUAGUUGAAGGAUCAUCCACACAGUACUAUUUUUGUAUAUGUAACAGUUUGUAAUGAAACUGUUGAAGACUAGCAAGAUGACGGCACAAAGGAACAGUUGGGUUCUGUAUGUUCAAGGAUCUGAUGGAGUGGUGAUUUCUCCAAAGAAGUUAGAUUCGGUGACUGUAAUUUCUCGAAGGGAUAAUUAAUGAAGACCCUGAUAAUGGAAGAGAAAUACAACAAGGGAUAAAGAUUGGCACCCUAUUUUGACUUGGAUAAAUGUUGUGACAGGAUGAGCUGCUGUCAAACAUAAAAGCAAAGAAUAGGGAGAAAUCUGGAGAACCGAAAUUGCACGAGAGCACACGGAGAUUGUGCAGGAGUACCCGAAGGAUCCAACGAGGUACUGUAAUGAGACAACAGAUGCAAGGAGAAGAAGAGUUCCCAGAUGAAGCUCAGAGCAGAGACUGUGUGAAAAGUUGUACAACAGGAAGUCUCUUGUGCUCUUGAUAAAGGCAACAAGCGAGGACCUUUCCAAUGCAUGCAAGGAUGGAAAGAUGAGCUGUUGCAGAAGCACCUAAUUAAGGGGGUGCGACCGCCGAUGAAAGGCGAAGACACCAAAGAGAGUUGGUGUGGGUGGAGCUAUCAAGCAGAAAGGCAUAGAAGCUCCAAACAUAGAAAAUGAGAUGGAGGAUUGCGAAGAGUGCACCGCAACUCUCUCUUUCUAUGUGAUCAGUGGUAGUGAUCUCUCCCAAGUCCACAUGGUGGUAGAGAAUCUUGGAGCCACUAGAGACAUCCCCGAUAAAGGAGGAUGUGACCGCUUCAUGACGGACGGAGACAUCUCAGGCAAGAAGGUGUGUGGGCCAUAAAACUAGCCCAAGUAGAAACCGCCGCAUGACAACGAGUGGAGACACCUCAGGAGAAGGUGUGCGGACCAUGAUAUGAGUCCAAGUUCAGACCGUCUCAUGACGACAGGCGGAGACACCUCAGAUGGAAGGUGUGAGGACCAUGAUAUGAGUCCAAGUUCAGACCGUCUCAUGACGACAGGCGGAGACACCUCGGAUGGAAGGUGUGAGGACCAUGGUAUGAGUCCAAGUUCAGACCGUCUCAUGACGACAGGCGGAGACACCUCAGGAGAAGGUGUGAGGGCCUUGAAAGGAGCCCAGUUCAGAACGCCCCAAAGCCGAUGUGAUGGCUGGAUAUAAGUGGACAAGUGUAUAGCCAAUGAAGAGGCUAUGAUGAGUAUGGAGACAAAUGCAAGAUUGAUUUUCAUGGAUAUUGCCCCCAUGCUAAAGAUCAAUGAGCUAGAAGACAUUUACCUUGGAAAAUAAGUGGAUGACUUGUGAAGCAUUAAGACGCGACUGCUAUGAAGAAGCAGAGGGCAUGCACAGGUUCCGAGAACAAGUUGACUCUUGUCAAGGUGGUGAGCUCGGUGAAGGCAUUGUAAUACUCAGAGUAUCAAGACAUAUAUGGAUCAACCUUUAAUGGGCUGCCCCCAUGGUUUAAGGUGGAGAGCUACCUGGACUCUUGAGACUAAGAGCGGGAGACUCACGGAGAAGUUAGGCGUGGUUUCUAGGGAGGAACAGAGGGCAGACGCAACUCCGGGAUGAGUAGACUCUUGGAAGAGUGGUGAGCUCGUGAUCACAUUAAAAUACUCAAUGACUGUCGCACUUGGAAAUAUCCGUUUGAGGGGGUGUUGUAAGCCUUGGUGUAAGGCUUGAUAAAUCAUUUCGGGCCAAGCAUGGUUGAUAUGCUUGAAGGGAAUGUUGUUCCAGAGACAAGCGUUAACAAUCUUCAGAUGAGAUGUGACAAACCAUCUGGUUGAAGUGAUCAUUUGGAGUGAGCAAAGGGGUGCUUGGAUGACUCUGGUGAUUGAAAGGUUUGGCAAGUACCUGGAAACUUGGCCAAAGACGCUCUCGGAAUGGUAAGCUUGGAAGAGCUGCAAGAUGCAAGCGUGUGCUGAAGAAGCAAGAGGACAAUUGCCCACAUAAAUGCCAAAGGGGGUGAUUGUUGGAAUAUUGCCAAUUAUGUGGCUGCCAUUGUCAAAGAAGAUGGCUGCAAUGGUGGGUUGUUGGUGGCAGCCAACAACCAUUGUCUAAUGUCAAAGUUUGGUAAGUUUGGCAGCCACCAUUAUUGACAAAAGAACAAGUGGAGCAGCACCAUAAAUGCCUAUAAAUAGAGGCAUACGGUUGAGAGCAAAAUGAGAGAGUGUGUAGAGCCAAAGAUGUGAGAAAUGUAGGAGAGAGUGGACUGCCAAGGCAGCCAGCAGUAGCUGCCAUUGCAGCACUGAAAAGAGAGAAAUAGAGUGAGGUUGAGAGUUGCCAAAGAGGGGAUGAUUCCUCCUCCUCUAUUGUUGUAAAUCUUGUUCUCUCCCUAUAUAAUCAAAUGGCUUCUCCCGUGGAUGUAGGCGGUUUGCCGAACCACGUUAAAUAUUGUGUCAGUGUGCUUAGCCUCCAAUGGGCAAAUAUCAGAACAUCACCGGUCGGAAUUCCGUACAUGUUAGCAGUUGGCACCUUCAUACAACUUGUUGGAAAAGACAUGUUGCUUAUCACAACAACGUAACUUGAGAGAGAUGUUUUUAGCACCCUUGCUAAUGACAAACCGCACUCAGUGAUCAACAUAAUCAGAGGAAUCAGAAUGGAGGCAGAAAGAGAGCUCGAAAGAAAUAAUCUGAGAACCCUGAUACGAGUUCAGCAGCUGAGUGACUGCUGAUAGGAACUUGUCCUUGUAAUCGGCAGAAGGAGGUCGUUGGUUAUCAUAAAAGUCAGAGUUUCCGAAUAUGUUAGCUGAAUCAGAUUUGAGAAUAGGCAACAAUUUCUAGGCCGAUUAACAAUAUGGUGGAUAAAACAAUGUUUGGACCGCCAACCUCAGUGGGAGGUUGGAGAUGAUAGAACAAGAAUGUUGUCAGGAUGUCCAUUCACGAGAUCACUAUUUGUCUUAGUCGAGCUGCUUCAUCUUCAUUGUUUGCUUAUUAUCCACAACAAUCGAUAUGAUGAUCGGAUCAGAUCAGAGAAAACCAAUCCUAAUUUCCUCCGGUGAAGGAAUUGUGUUAUGUCAGGUCUGAAGAUGUGAGUAUUAUGAGUUUAAGUUUUGAUUGAAGAUUUAUGUAUGUUUCCAAUUUUGCUC